AAAGUCGUAACAAGGUUUCCGUAGGUGAACCUGCGGAAGGAUCAUUACCAAUUUUUAGCGGACCUGAUCUUUGGUCAUGGUUUCGCGAAAACUUGUAUUUAAAACCCCACUCUUAUAAAUUGAAUCCAUUUUAUUAUAAUAAUAAAUAAAGAUCACUUUCAACAACGGAUCUCUUGGCUCUC
This 182-nucleotide unclassified non-coding RNA is filed under the name Glomeromycotina sp. RNAcentral's name for it is "partial contains small subunit ribosomal RNA, internal transcribed spacer 1, and 5.8S ribosomal RNA". The stretch from base 1 to 47 matches the Rfam family "Eukaryotic small subunit ribosomal RNA", at positions 1785 to 1831 of the family's 1831-position model. The record is from RNAcentral. Lineage: Eukaryota; Fungi; Glomeromycota.